Molecule: ribosomal RNA, 292 nt
Filed under: uncultured bacterium
Lineage: Bacteria
Description: partial 16S ribosomal RNA
Rfam family: Bacterial small subunit ribosomal RNA
Source: RNAcentral
GUGUCAGCAGCCGCGGUAAUACAGAGGGUGCAAACGUUGUUCGGAUUUACUGGGCGUAAAGCGCGUGUAGGCGGCUUGGCAAGUCGGGUGUGAAAGCCCUGGGCUCAACCUAGGAAGUGCACUCGAAACUGCCUCGCUGGAGUCUCGGAGAGGAAAGCGGAAUUCUCGGUGUAGAGGUGAAAUUCGUAGAUAUCGAGAGGAACAUCGGUGGCGAAGGCGGCUUUCUGGACGACGACUGACGCUGAGACGCGAAAGCGUGGGGAGCAAACAGGAUUAGAAACCCGUGUAGUCC